Molecule: small nucleolar RNA, 106 nt
Organism: Ananas comosus (pineapple)
Lineage: Eukaryota; Viridiplantae; Streptophyta; Magnoliopsida; Poales; Bromeliaceae
Rfam family: Small nucleolar RNA Z103
About the family: This family consists of several snoRNA Z103 sequences which are members of the C/D class of snoRNA which contain the C (UGAUGA) and D (CUGA) box motifs.
Source: Rfam
AUGGAAAUGAUGAUCCUUUCCCCACAUGAUCGACUCUGAUUAUACUGUGCGAUCUACUGUAACCUCCUCUUCAUGAGGAGGGGACCAAGCCAGGAUUCUGAUCCAC